UUAAAUUGAAGAGUUUGAUCAUUGCUCAGAUUGAACGCUGGCGGCAGGCCUAACACCUGCAAG
This 63-nucleotide ribosomal RNA is filed under the name Vibrio parahaemolyticus. RNAcentral's name for it is "partial 16S ribosomal RNA". Lineage: Bacteria; Pseudomonadati; Pseudomonadota; Gammaproteobacteria; Vibrionales; Vibrionaceae. The record is from RNAcentral.